UAUUAAAAUUGUUGCGUCUAAAAAGCUCGUAGUUUGAAAACUUGCCUUGGCUUACAACAGGUUUCCAAUGGAGGCCGCCGUUUGUCGGGAGCAAAUAUAGAUGACUGUUUUCGCCGACUUCAUUGUCCGGCUUAUAAGAGUCAUCAAAUAUCACUUUGAUUAAAUUAGAGUGCUUAAAGCAAGUGUGUUACUUGGAUAUAAAUGCAUGGAAUGAUGGAAUAUGUUGUUGUUCUAUUUGUUGGUUUUUGAACGAUAAAAUGAUUGAAAGGAACUGUUGGGGGCAUUCGUAUUGUUGUGAGAGGGGUGAAAUUCUUAGACCACAGCAAGACGAACUACUGCGAAAGCAUUUGCCAAGAAUGUUUUCAUUGAUCAAGAACGAAAGUUAGAGGUUCGAAGGCGAUCAGAUACCGCCCUAGUUCUAACCAUAAACUAUGCCAACUAGCAAUUUGCUUAUGUUCUUUAUAUGACUAAGUGAGAGGCCACGGGAAACCAAAGUAGGGUUAUGGGGGAAGUAUGGUUGCAAAGCUGAAACUUAAAGGAAUUGACGGAAGGGCACCACCAGGAGUGGAGCCUGCGGCUUAAUUUGACUCAACACGGGAAAACUUACCUGGUCCUGACACUAGAAGGAUUGACAGAUUGAUAGCUCUUUCUUGAUUUGGUGGAUGGUGGUGCAUGGCCGUUCUUAGUUGGUGGAGUGAUUUGUCUGGUUAAUUCCGAUAACGAACGAGACUCUAGCCUAUUAAAUAACACACAGAAUCUCGUCUUCUGUGGUGUUUCUUAAUGGGAUCAAGUGUGUUUAACGCUUUGAAACAGAGCAAUAACAGGUCUGUGAUGCCCUUAGAUGUUCGGGGCCGCACGCGCGCUACAUUGAGAGACAAAAUGAGUUUUUUAGUCUUUAAUAAGGCUAGUAAUCUUUGAAUGUUUUUCUUAAUGGGGAUAGGGGAUUGCAAUUGUGCCCCUUGAACGAGGAAUUCCCAGUAAGUGCUAGUCAUUAGCUAGUACUGAUUACGUCCCUGCCCUUUGUACACACCGCCCGUCGCUACUACCGAUUGAAUGGUUUAGUGAGAUCAUCUGAGUAGAUGUGCAUGUGCUCUGCAUGUGUAAUGUUUGCAAUGAAGAUCAAACUUGAUCAUUUAGAGGAAGUAAAAGUCGUAACAAGGUUUCCGUAGGUGAACCUGCGG
This 1181-nucleotide ribosomal RNA is filed under the name Neoseiulus californicus. RNAcentral describes it as "SSU rRNA". It matches the Rfam family "Eukaryotic small subunit ribosomal RNA", at positions 602 to 1820 of the family's 1831-position model. Lineage: Eukaryota; Metazoa; Arthropoda; Arachnida; Mesostigmata; Phytoseiidae. The record is from RNAcentral.